RNAcentral lists this ribosomal RNA (676 nucleotides) under Morimospasma sp. Its description in RNAcentral is "12S ribosomal RNA". The record is from RNAcentral. Lineage: Eukaryota; Metazoa; Arthropoda; Insecta; Coleoptera; Cerambycidae.
AUUAGUUCGCAGUAAAUAAAUUUGAAUAUUAAUGAAAAUUAGAUUUAGUAAAAAUUUUUAGUAUUAACAAAUUUUGUGCCAGCAGUUGCGGUUAUACAAAUAAUAUAAUUUAAUUUUUUUUAGUGUUAAUAUAUUUUGAAUUGAAAAUUUUAAUAAAAAAUUAAUAAGGUGAAAUUUUUAAUUUUUAUAUAAAUUUGAGAUUGAUAAUUAAUUAAUAAAUUUGUUAAUAAACUAGGAUUAGAUACCCUAUUAUUAUAAAUGUAAAAUUGAACUAGAUUAGUAUUAGUUAUGUUCUUGAAAAUUAAAAAUUUUGGCGGUUUUUUAAUCUAUUCAGAGGAACCUGUUCCAUAAUCGAUAAUCCACGAUUUAACUUACCUUUAUUAUUAGUUUGUAUAUCGUCGUAGUUUGAUUAUUUUAGAAGAAUUUUAAUAUUCAAUUUUUUUUUAAAAAAAAUAAAUCAGAUCAAGAUAUAGCUUAUAUAAAGGUGGAAAUGGGUUACAUUAAUUUUAAUUUAGGAUUUUAAAUUUAAGAUUUAAAUGAAUUAGGAUUUGAAAGUAAUUUUAAAUAAAAUUUUAAGAUGAUUUUAGCUCUAAAAUAUGUACAUAUCGCCCGUCGCUUUCAUUAUAAAGUGAAAUAAGUCGUAACAAAGUAGGCUUACCGGAAGGUGUGCCUAGAA